Long non-coding RNA from Xenia sp. Carnegie-2017, 369 nucleotides. RefSeq lists it as uncharacterized. The transcript is spliced from 2 exons. NCBI's taxonomy places the organism in Eukaryota, Metazoa, Cnidaria, Anthozoa, Malacalcyonacea, Xeniidae. The record is from RefSeq and is a predicted model, not a curated record.
UCACUCUUCAUAUCAUAAAAAUUUCGAAACUACGAGCUUCCAUUAGUCUAAUCCUACUGUACAACAAACAAUACAAAUGAGUAUAAGUUUGCACUACGAAACGAGCAAGCUUGGAUUUUGGACCUAGGGUGCAAACGACUUCAAACAAUGAAAGUCAAUGAAACGAAUCAUCAUAAAACAUUCACUAGAAAAAAACUUGACAGAAAUAUAUCAUUUCUUUUCAAUAGAAAUCCGCAAAUGUAUAGCCUGUUUGGUAUUUUAGUAUGUGUAGUGUAAUUAACUUAAAGUGUAACAGAUAAAAAUUACUUAUCGUUCCGAAAAAUUAUUAAAAUGUUAAAAGAAUCAACAGAAUUAAACGCCCACACUUAA